Crotalus tigris (Tiger rattlesnake) is the source of this 1589-nucleotide long non-coding RNA. RefSeq lists it as uncharacterized. NCBI's taxonomy places the organism in Eukaryota, Metazoa, Chordata, Lepidosauria, Squamata, Viperidae. The transcript has 5 exons. The record is from RefSeq and is a predicted model, not a curated record.
GACAGCCUGAAGUCUUCGCAGGUUGAACAAUUUCCCAUCGGUUCUGUACCUCAGAUUAACUCCCACUGAGCUGUUCUAAAAGGCAUCUGACAGCAUGGCUGAAAACAUCCUGCUAAACAGGGCAGCCUUGUUUAUUGCCGUUAGUGAGAGGGAAGGCCUCUGAGGCUCCACCGUUACUCUGAACAUGAGCUGCCAUGCCAUCAUGGAACUGCCAUACCAUCAGAAUAAAUCUGUCAGGGCACCCAAACUUCGACAUAAUGCACCAUAAUCCUUCACGACUAACUGUGUCAAAAGCCUUGGUGAGAUCCACAAAGGUGGUGUAUAGUUCACAAUUCUGCUCCUGACAUUUCUCCUGGACCUGUCAAACUGCAAAGAUCAUGUCCACCAUGCCAUGCACUUUGCGGAAACCACACUGUGUCUCAGGUAGCAUGCCCUGUUCCAGAUGGUCAGUCAGGCAAUUUAGCAACACUCGUGCAAAGAUCUUGCCUGCGAUGGAGAGAAGUGAUAUUCCUCUAUAAUUAUCGCAGACUUGUCGAUUUCUUUCCUCUUGUAGAGGUGCAUAAUGGACGCAUCUUUCAGUUCCUGGGGAAUGGAACCUUGUUUCCAGAUAAGAUCGGAACAACUGGACAUUUCAUUGUCCAAACAAGUCUUCAACCAAUUUAGAAGAAGAGGAAUCUGUCAACCAUAGUAAAUGUGGCCUAACAGAAGAUCAGAACUCCUUUAUGAAGAAAGUGGACAAAAUAAUUGAAAUCUGGAAAAGAAUUAAGGCUGCAGUCCACAAAAACUCUGAUUUGUGGUUGUUAUCAAAUGCUACAUGUAGACUGGAUUUGACAUUUUUGUCCACCUUUUAAGUCCUUCCCACAGACCUGCAAUAGGCAGAUGUUGUUUGAUGACAUAAAGAUCUCAUUGCAAGAUGUAAGGUGUUCCAAGCAAUGGAUGAUGGAAUUCUUUCCUGCUCAGAAAAUAUUCAACAGCAAAACCCUGUAUACACAAACUUGAUAUAUGCUAAAAAUCAUAAUAUGCAUAAAAUAUAAAAAGUUGCAUUUUAAACAGUUAAUCUUGUAUUUCCUGUGAAAACUUAUGAAGAUAUAUACUGAAGUGUUUUUUUUUUACAUAUUUUGCAUUAAUUCUUAUAUUAGAUCCUUUUUGUUUUCUGAUAGCCUGCUGUUGUCUUUUACAACAGCAGCAGGUUGUAAAAGAGUGAGUAAAGAUUGUGUGUUACUUUGGUAUCUGUUUCUACUUGGAAGGCUAAAAGAGAGAAAAAAGAAAGAGACAAAAGUUUCAAUUGUUUCUGAGUUAUCAUUGUGUUCUCAUUCUUUUAGUAAAUUCACAUAAUAAUAUUUGAAUAAAACCGGAACAAAUUCUACUUGAGAACUGCAUGGAACUAAUGAGGAACAAAGAGACCAUGUUACACUCUUUGCUGUCAGAACAAUGGUCUGUUGCUGUUUGAUCUUUUACUUGCAGUUGAUUCCUUCUUUGCCCAAAGAAGCAAGUUAUAUUAUGGUUCAAAGUUCAGUUCAUUGCUUCAACCCUGACAACCUUUUCUGCAGAUUUAAACAGUUAAUAAAGGAAUCACCAUUUGUCUUCCA